CUUUGUUCAGGGCUGUUUUGCCAUUGUCUGCGGGCAGUGCUCGGCACAUAAUAACUGCUCAGCAAAUAUUUACUGAACGAAUGAAAGUGAAAUGAAUACACUGGUAAAGCACAAAAUAGAGACUCAAUAACUACUAGUGUUUUCUUCUUUAAGAAUAUGGGUUUACCUUUGCAUGCGUUGUCUCCCUGUAUAACAUGGAAAUGAGCUAGACCACAGGUCGUGGAAUUCAGCAGUCCUGCCUGUUCAGGCCAAGCGGAUCUUUUCUGGAUUCUUUAACUUCUUCCGUAGAAGACUAUCUGAGCUAUUAUCAUCUGAAUGGCCUGGAGAAGAAUUUAGCUUCAGGUUCAAGAGCAUUUGUUGGUUGCACAUAUGCUCAAACUUUCCCAAUUAAAAUAGAAAGAAAAAUAGAGAAAGAGAAAAGAGUUCUUGACUCUGCCUCUUUUCUCAAAGCGGCACUGGCUCUGGGGCAGAGCAGAGCUUGGAACGGAAUAAAGGGAGAAGGACCCCCUAGAGGGUCUGAAUAGAGCUUGGAGGCCUCAGAAAAGUGGGUCUCCACUGUCUUCAUUCCCUUGCCACCCAGAAACGACACACAUUGGCGAGAGAGCCUCACCGAUGAGGACAUACAGAGAAAGAAGGGGCCUUCUAGAACGAAGCUUGGGCUUCAUCCUGUGAUUGUGUUCUGAAAAAGCCUGAGCUUGGAUUGAGAACUGGGUGGCUUUUUAGGAAGUGCCUUCCCAAGUCCUGGGCUAAGAGUCACUCACCAUCAGAGGGACUGGACCAGGUACCCACAGAGCAGGUUGGAGUUACUUCCUGGAUACGGUCUCUGAGUGAACAGAAUCCUUGAGUUCCACGUGGUUGUCAGCUCGCAGGUAAUGCUGGAUGGAUGCUAUGUUUCAGUGUAUUUUGUGCUUUUUUUAGUGCCUUCAACUUAGAUUCUUUCUUGUGUAUAAUAUGCCAAGCCACCCCUUGUCCCCUAAAGUCUCACUGAAACUCCCCUUCACUUGGUGACUGUAUUCACAGAUGCUCAUGGGACACUUCAAGACACUUGGAUUCUCUCCUUUGGCUUCCAGUACUCCUGCAAGAGUCGGACAUGACUUAGCGACUAAAUCACCACCACCACCACCACCACCACCACUCCCUAAGGCACCCUGGUGGUGCCUGUGACACUUCUGACACCCCUCUAUCCACUCAUUUGAGCACCUCCUCCUAGUCUACUAGAUGUCAGACACGACUGAGCAACUUUCAUCGCUUACUCCUAGUCUACUGCCCUGAAAUAUUCUCCCAGUGUUCUGCCCACCCAGAAUCUACAAAGAGCGAUUCACCAUCCUUUAGUUAUUCUUCCAGUGAGUGUAUUGUUAUAAAAAAUAGAACAGUCAGUUAUUUUACCAGCAUCAUGGGUUGAUUUGAGAAUAGCAGAGGAAUUGCAAUUCGGACAACAAAGUUAUGGCAAAAAUAUAGGUGAGCCCAACGGCAAACAAGCAUGACUUUAUAGAGAAAAGGAAGUUGGG
RNAcentral lists this long non-coding RNA (1508 nucleotides) under Bos indicus x Bos taurus (hybrid cattle). RNAcentral's name for it is "lncRNA (ENSBIXG00000018612.1)". Lineage: Eukaryota; Metazoa; Chordata; Mammalia; Artiodactyla; Bovidae. The record is from RNAcentral.